This is a long non-coding RNA of Melitaea cinxia (Glanville fritillary), 189 nucleotides long. RefSeq lists it as uncharacterized. The transcript has 2 exons. NCBI's taxonomy places the organism in Eukaryota, Metazoa, Arthropoda, Insecta, Lepidoptera, Nymphalidae. The record is from RefSeq and is a predicted model, not a curated record.
UUAUGAGGUUAUCACGUAAAACUAUCGUCCGUAAGCCGACUUUACAGACUACCAAUUUAUUUAUUUAUUUUUUACUUAAAUUAUACAGAUUAAUUACAAUUGACUAUGUGCUAUUAAAAUGUAUUUACAACGUUUAUACAUGUGUUGUAUAACAAAAAUGUUAGUUAUACAAACACAUUAAAGGCAUAA